GGGCACAUGGUGUAGUUGGUUAUCACGCCCGCUUAGCAUGGUUGCAUUGCGUUUUCGCCCUGCGGGCGGUCCCCGGUUCAAUUCCGGGUGUGUCCA
Non-coding RNA from Termitomyces sp. T32_za158, 96 nucleotides. NCBI's taxonomy places the organism in Eukaryota, Fungi, Basidiomycota, Agaricomycetes, Agaricales, Lyophyllaceae. The record is from the annotation of a GenBank genome assembly.